AUUCCAUACUUCCGGUGGUCUCCUAUUCCAUACUUCCGGUGGUCUCCUAUUCCAUACUUCCGGUGGUCUCCUAUUAUAUACUUAGUCCCAUCGUGGUGCUGUGAUGAUGAGGAAAGAGUAAAGAAAGGUUCUGGGUGUUCUAGGCUGUUAAGUCUUUCAGUCGUGGACGAAUGCCCUUGAAUAAGAUUUAGGAUUCUGGCCCCCUCCUCGAUGAUUUCUGCAUCCUGGCCAUGAGACCAGCCGUUCCGUUUGUACCCUUGAGAUCUCCUGCCCAUUUUUGUCUGUACACUGCUACUCCAAGACAAUGCUGAGAGAUUAUGGAGUAAAAUCUUUAAUACCAGGCUCCAAAGAUUAGGGUCAUGUGAUGCUUGAAGCCUCCUUUUGAAAAAAAAUGUUUUGCCCUACCGUGUGCCCAGCACUCAGCUCUCUUCUUCUGUCCAAAGCCUCCUGGGAAGACACACUCCAGCAGUGCCCAGCUGAGAGAAGGUCUCCCCUCUUCAGAGUCCUGCCAUCUCCCAGUAGUGUUCUGGGCUGAUGUCCAUCCUGUGGGACAUUUCCCAAGACCUUAGACAGCACUCUCAGCUUCUCAUCGUUCUCCCCUGACGAAGGAAUGCAUCCCCAUCCAAUGCAACCUCAUCAUUCACGCGUGUUCCCAGUGCCUGUCAGGGCAAGAGGCUCCAGGCCAGUUCAAAGCUGACCCACAGAAUUCCUGAGAGAGGGCUGGAGGUGUUGCUUGGCGGCAGAGCCAGAGUUCGGCAUGUGCGAGCCACUAAGUUGAAUGCAAUGCUCCAAAGUCAACUUGUGAGAGUCUCUGAAGAGGGGAAGAAGUAGGAACUUUGGUAAUUACUGCACCUUUUAAUUCCCCCUUGAGAGAAUGCAUCAGUGUAUCCUAAGCUGAAUUAAUUUUCACAAAAGAAGUCCUGCAGCUUUUUCAUUCGUGGGCUUCUUUGUAAGCUCGGGCUGAUGUGUCCUGUGGACAGACUGCUGAGGAUACAGCCAUGAGAAACGAAGGAAACUGAUCGAAGAAGCUAAACAAGGAGGGCCCAAGGGAGGGUGCUUAAAUCUCACUCAGGAGGGAAAAUAAAAUAGUUAU
Non-coding RNA from Rattus norvegicus (Norway rat), 1093 nucleotides. The record is from RefSeq and is a predicted model, not a curated record. Lineage: Eukaryota; Metazoa; Chordata; Mammalia; Rodentia; Muridae.